ACUGAUUUCCUUUGGUGCUUAGA
Molecule: microRNA, 23 nt
Filed under: Danio rerio (zebrafish)
Lineage: Eukaryota; Metazoa; Chordata; Actinopteri; Cypriniformes; Danionidae
Description: Dre-Mir-29-P2b1_5p* (star (passenger))
Source: RNAcentral